CCUAACUGCCUAAAAAAGGAAAGGGGAGUGUAAACAAGUAGGAGACAGAUCUAAAAUAAAUGCAUUACCGAUAGAAAGAGGAUUCGGUAUUUACCUCUGGGAUGAAGUUCUGAGUGAUUGGCGUGGUCGCCGGUGCAGAUGCGGAUGAUGGGGCCGCGAUGGGGAUCGCCAUUGGGAUCUCCGAUGAAGCUCCUUCUUCUGUGGAUGGAGCAACGGCCGUCGCCACUACCGCCGGAGGUGCUACUUCUGCAACGUCGCGCGCUGGAGAGCUGCCGGAAGGAGCCGCCAUUGGAAGAGAAGCUGAAGAGAGAAGAGGGCGCGCGCGCUUGGAAAGAGAGAC
This 340-nucleotide long non-coding RNA is filed under the name Setaria viridis. RNAcentral describes it as "long non-coding RNA (SVIR_LNC009049)". The record is from RNAcentral. Lineage: Eukaryota; Viridiplantae; Streptophyta; Magnoliopsida; Poales; Poaceae.